AGCGUUGCAUAGCUUCCAAUUUUCGAACAAACCUUUUGCGUUUUAUUAAAGAUUUCCAUGGGGAAGAAGAAUUCAAAUGAAUCUAAAGCAAAUUUUUGUAAUACUUGACAGAAAUUUU
Molecule: small nuclear RNA, 118 nt
Organism: Condylostylus longicornis
Lineage: Eukaryota; Metazoa; Arthropoda; Insecta; Diptera; Dolichopodidae
Product: U5 spliceosomal RNA
Exons: 1
Source: RefSeq, a predicted model, not a curated record